Molecule: long non-coding RNA, 3638 nt
Organism: Anolis carolinensis (green anole)
Lineage: Eukaryota; Metazoa; Chordata; Lepidosauria; Squamata; Anolidae
Source: Ensembl
GCUUCAUGUGAGGAGCGAGUGGGCGGUUCUUGUUCCUGCAAUCAUCCAUGUUUCCCAACAGGAGAGAGACAAGUGCAAAGUAUGUCUUUAAAGCCCUAAGGAGGAUAAACAAACAGACCUCGCUGCCUCUUCUUCUCAUCAUUUGCACUCAGCUGCCUGAGGCGGAAAAGAAAAGGGACAGAGAGCCCAGUUGGGCUCCUCUGCCAGAUGACCCAAACCCAACAAAAAGGAAGUACACUGACUUUUCUUCUUAUCCUUUGUAUUGCUCAGAAGAGACACAAUAAUGAGUAACAGGCAGAAAGCCCACUCUGCUAUGCUGAAAGGUAGUGAAUUACAGUGCUGAUGAAUAGAAGAUAAACAAUGCACCAUCCCCAUUAAUUAUAGCAAAAUAUCUAAGUGCUAAACUAACUCAUUGCAGGUGAUACUUUACAUCCACGCUUUGACUUUACACAUUGGCUUCAUACACUUUUUUUUUACAGUAAGCUAAAACCCUCCGAGAUUCAAGCUGCAAGAAUAAUUGAUGAUACUUUUGUCAUCUCUCCCUGUGUUUUUUACAAGGAACUAGCAGGGAAUGGCCAUGGGAUUUAACAUGUGAUUUAUUGAAUCGUAUAUAUUUGGAUAAACUGCAUAUUACUCAGAAAGGUCCAGUAUAGCACUGGGCCUAUAUGAUGAAUGCUGGGGAUAUGGUGAUCCCAAGAAAGUUGAAGUAAUGAGCUUCCCAAGUAGUUUGAGUUCACCAUUUGCUAGAAAAAGAAGACAUAGCUAGCAGAGUUAUUGCAAGAAAGAUUGUUUUUCAUUAUUCUGGCUACACAUGUAAUUCCCCCACUGGUGGAUGUGUAUAUUAAUAAGUUUGAGCUUCAGUGCCUUGGUGCUUCGAGUAUAAAGGAUAUAACAUUUUUCUUGGAGGACUCUUUGUUGUGUGCUCUACCUGUAUGGCCACCAAGAUCUCUUUGAUGGCAGGGAUAGUACAGCCAAUUGGUCUCCUUGUUUUGGAAUUCCAAAUAGAUUUUGAUUGUCAAAUUGGCUAUUAUUGUGACAGCAGAAUGGUUGACUUUCCAAAUAAACCUGAAGUAUGACAUUAUAACGUCCCAUUUUCCAACUUCCAAAAUUGCUGGUAGUUUGAGCUCAACUAGGAUGCAAAAACAGCACAGUUUAAUAACUAAUAGAGGAGUUCCUGGUUGUUAUUUGGGUGUUGUUCUAUCAGCUUCUUAGCAUUUUCUGUCAGCCUGCUGUUCAGUUGGGUCAUUUGUUAUCUCUUAAAUUGGCAAUAGGUGGCAGUAAAGGGGCCUUUUAGAUCUCACUUCAUCAAGAAACCCUAGCAGCAACUAGCAAUAGUAACAGUUACUUUUCCAACUACCCGAUAAAUAACAUGUCUCAUUACUUUUAAACACUAUAAUGCAUAAUGGAAAAUUAAAUAUCUUCAGAAAGUUACUUUUCAAGCAGGCCUCCACCCAUCUCUAGGUUAAUAAGGUGACCAUUAUGCCAACCUAUCAUGCAAUUUUCUUGGCAAGAUUUGUUCAGAGUGUUAUCGAACACGGCACCCUCACCCCUAAUUUAAAAAAGGCAUUUAUAAUUCUCCAAGAGCAAGGGCCAGGAUGAAUUGCAGCACCAUCCUUACCAUUAGAAGAAGUCUUUCCCAACCUCCAUAGACCAGCAGCAGGACACACUCCCAAGAAGUCAAUUUUUUCUAUUUUAUACUUUUUGACCCAAUUCUUUAAUCAAAGCUAAUCUGGAUCAGUGCAUGUUCGACGGGAGUCAGGACUCCUUAAAUGUGUACCUCAGGAUCGAGUGCGUAUCUCAUAGAGCAGGGUCCACCUGAGAGCCUUUCUCAUAGACCCCAGGAAUCUUUAAGGGGCGGCCCAGUCCCAACUUUGGCCUGAUCUAAGGGAGCCAACCCUGCUAGUCCACACCAGCACCUGUCUCAUGGACCCUGGCCCCAGUGGAAAGUCUCUCUAUGGACAACAAAAUCUUCAGUUUACUUAAAUGAAACAUAUCCUUAUGAUGCUACGACAUAUCUUUUCCCAUGGCUUCAUAACAUUUUCUUUACUUAUGUCUCCAUUUUCUUUUCUCUCUGGCUAAUAUCCGUAUGUGCGCAGGAAUCAGAUAAUAAAAAGAGGGAAAGGAAAUCACCUUUCUAACCUUUUCAUACCUGACCAUGGUGCAGCCAUUUCAUUUCCCCAGACCCUUGCUCCUCUCCCCUAUUUCCUUGCCUAUGAAUUAUGCUUGAUCACAUUUUAUUUUAUUUUAUUUCCUAUACAUAUAUUAAAUAGAAGGCAAACUUCAAUGAACUAUUUUAACCUAUGCUCAACCUCUGGGCAAAGUCAACAUUCUUGGAAUUUCUUGUCGAGGCAUUAAACUGGAGGCACAGCAAGGACAAUUAUGCCUCGGACAUUAUCUUUCUGCAAGUAAGCUGAUAUUCUUACUAUUGUCAUCCUGGAAUCCCCUUUCGGGGGAUUCAAGCCAUCAACUAAGCCAAGCAAUGAACAAAGGAAAUAUUAUUUAUUUAUUUAUUUACAUCACUUUUACCCUGCCUUUCUCCCCAAGGAGACUCAAAGAGGCUUACAAUAAAUAGGCAAAAAUUUAAUGCCUAAAAACAAUGUAAAAACAACAAUUCAUAUAAAACAAUCUACAAAACAACAAUUCAUAUAAAAAAAUAUGACUGCCAAAAGACAUCUUGAAGCCCAAUCAUUGUUUAUUCAGUCCGGAAACAGGCUUAAGGGAUUGCCACCCUUUGUCCCCAGCAUCUUGGAUCCUACAUUUUCCUAAUUCCAUCAUUCCUGGACCUGGACAUUCAUUGUUUUCCAAAUUCCAUCCUGAGGUGGGUGCAGGGUUAGGGUUAGGGUUAGGGUUAGGGUUAGGUCUCUGCCCCAAGAGGCGCUCCCAACAGCUGAUUGGAAGCCCUAGGGCUUCCCCGCCCAGCUGGGAGGAAAUAUCAAAACUUGGCAAUGUUAAUGCAUGGAGUUUCUUCUAUAUAAGAGUUACUGCAUCUCCCAUGUUGCUUAUCCAUGUACCUUUUGGGUAGGAGCCCUACUUGUAUCCGUUUUUGUCCAGAAUACAUUAAAAACACCUCUGCCCUUUGUCUUCAUGUCUGGUAGAUCUUUCAUUUGAAAUCUUACAAAUCUUUAAUUUGAAACACUGAUUAUUAAUUUUGGUUAGCAUAAUACUUGCCAGGCAGUUCUCUCAUAUGAUUACAUUCUAAAUUCCAUAUCAAGACACCCUCUGAGGCCGAGAGAGUGGGACUUGCCUAAUCCCAUAGUUGAUUUCCAUGGAAGAUUAAAACCCUGAUCGCCAGAGCCCUAGUCUAACAUACAAAGUGUGUAUGGAUGGGUUCUUUCCAAUGCCACUGUGAGAACUGCACAAACAAUACAUCAAAACUUCCACUCUGGGCAAGGUGGCAUAGUGAGAGGCAUGAUCCAGAUUCACCACCCACACAUGCACCUAAAGUGUGAAGAGUGAGUUAAAGAUAAAGAGCAGGAAGAAGUGAGGUUUCUCAGGCCAGCUAGAAAUAACUUAAAAUGGGAGGACUUUGUAAAUGUUUUUUUUUUAAUUGUUUCAUUUGCAUGUAAAGACUCUUUGCCCCAUUUUCCACUUGCAAAUCAGAGAUAAUUUUGCAAGCACACUCUUCAAGAUCUUUCUGC